This 383-nucleotide ribosomal RNA is filed under the name Conus fontonae. Its description in RNAcentral is "partial 12S ribosomal RNA". It matches the Rfam family "Microsporidia small subunit ribosomal RNA", at positions 780 to 1304 of the family's 1311-position model. RNAcentral also lists the same sequence under 4 other names. The record is from RNAcentral. Lineage: Eukaryota; Metazoa; Mollusca; Gastropoda; Neogastropoda; Conidae.
GAGCUUGGCGGUGUUUUAGACCUCUCAGGGGAACCUGUCUCAUAAUCGACAAUCCACGUUAAACCUAACCUUUGAUAGCAAUUCAGCCUGUAUACCGUUGUCGUCAGGUAACUUCUUAAAAUAUAGUAGUUAGCUUGAAAAUUUUAUUAAUUAAAACGUCAAAUCAAGGUGCAGCUAAUAAAAAGGUGAAGAUGGGUUACAAUUACAUAUUUGUAAAUACGGAUAAACAUUUGAAAGAAUGUUUUAAAGGAGGACUUGAAAGUAAUUUUAAUUAUAUAAACAAAAUGAAUGAGGCUCUGAAACGUGCACACAUCGCCCGUCGCUCUCGUUGAAAAAUGAGAUAAGUCGUAACAUAGUAGGGGUAAUGGAAAUUGUUCCUAGGC